Molecule: non-coding RNA, 148 nt
Filed under: Pan paniscus (pygmy chimpanzee)
Lineage: Eukaryota; Metazoa; Chordata; Mammalia; Primates; Hominidae
Also listed under: 1 other name
Source: Rfam by way of RNAcentral
GCCGGGCAUAGUGGUGUGUGCCUGUAAUCCCAGCUACUUGGGAGGCUGAGGCAGGAGAAUCGCUUGAACCCGGGAGGCAGAGGUUGCAGUGAGCUGAGAUCACACCACUGCACUCCAGCCUGGGCGACAGAGUGAGACUCCGCCUCCA